CCGCAGCAAGGUCACACAAAGCCGUGCAAAGUGGAGCAGACAAGUAAACCUCCUCCAGUAAGAGAUGAAACAUGUCCGAGGUGCGAGGACGGCUGGGAGCCACAUGGAGGAAAGUGCUACUUCUUCUCCUCGGUUACUUUAACCUGGAAUCAGAGUAGAACAGAAUGCAGAUCAAUGAGAGGAGACCUGGUUGUGAUAAACAACAAAGAGGAGCAGAGAUUCCUGGUGUCUAGUCUGAGAGGAAAAAUGG
Long non-coding RNA from Hippoglossus stenolepis (Pacific halibut), 250 nucleotides. RefSeq lists it as uncharacterized. The record is from RefSeq and is a predicted model, not a curated record. NCBI's taxonomy places the organism in Eukaryota, Metazoa, Chordata, Actinopteri, Pleuronectiformes, Pleuronectidae. The transcript is spliced from 3 exons.